RNAcentral lists this ribosomal RNA (253 nucleotides) under uncultured bacterium. Its description in RNAcentral is "partial 16S ribosomal RNA". It matches the Rfam family "Bacterial small subunit ribosomal RNA", at positions 524 to 776 of the family's 1533-position model. The record is from RNAcentral.
UACAGAGGCCCCAAGCGUUACUGAGAAUCACUGGGUUUAAAGGGUGCGUAGGUGGCGCGUUAAGUCCGUUGUGAAAUCCCUUGGCUCAACCAAGGAAAUGCUUCGGAUACUGGCGUGCUUGAGGCUAGUAGGGGUCACUGGAACUGACGGUGGAGCGGUGAAAUGCGUAGAUAUCAUUUGGAACGCCAAUGGUGAAAACAGGUAGCUGGGGCUGUGCUGACGCUGAGACACGAAAGCCAGGGGAGCAAACGGG